Bradysia coprophila is the source of this 484-nucleotide long non-coding RNA. RefSeq lists it as uncharacterized. The record is from RefSeq and is a predicted model, not a curated record. NCBI's taxonomy places the organism in Eukaryota, Metazoa, Arthropoda, Insecta, Diptera, Sciaridae.
GCCGACGCAUCCUACAGCGAUUAUGACGACGAUAAUAGUACUAAAAAUAACGCUGCAUUAGGAUCUUCGUCCACGUUGAUGCGACUCAUCAAUCUUCAAUCGUAUGAUGGAUCAUUCAGCUUGAACGAAGACUUAUCACAGAUCUUAGGAAAAUCGUUGCAGGAACUCAAAGCAGCAUGCGUCACACAUAAUUUGUCCGAACAAAAGUUUGCAACGGCAUUGGCAGUAGAUUUUUUCAGAAGUAAACUAGCCGACGAAAAAGACCGAUGGGAAUUGAUUGUGUCGAAGGCUCAGCAGUGGUUAAGUAGUGCAGUCCAACCAGAAAAUAUGAACGCAGUUACCAAAUUGGCAUCAGACUUUCUAAAAUGAAGCCGAAAAAUGUGACCGUCACCUUUUAUUUGAGACACGAAAGACUCUGUUUUUGUGUGGUUUGUACCGAAUACUUCAACUAAAAAUAAAUAAAAAUAAACGAACUUAAUGAUAA